Molecule: ribosomal RNA, 497 nt
Filed under: uncultured bacterium
Lineage: Bacteria
Description: partial 16S ribosomal RNA
Rfam family: Bacterial small subunit ribosomal RNA
Source: RNAcentral
GAUGAACGCUGGCGGCGUGCCUAAUACAUGCAAGUCGAGCGAACAGACGAGGAGCUUGCUCCUCUGACGUUAGCGGCGGACGGGUGAGUAACACGUGGAUAACCUACCUAUAAGACUGGGAUAACUUCGGGAAACCGGAGCUAAUACCGGAUAAUAUAUUGAACCGCAUGGUUCAAUAGUGACAGACGGUUUUGCUGUCACUUAUAGAUGGAUCCGCGCCGCAUUAGCUAGUUGGUAAGGUAACGGCUUACCAAGGCAACGAUGCGUAGCCGACCUGAGAUGGUGAGUGGUCACACUAGAACUGAGACACGGUCCAGACUCCUACGGGAGGCAGCAGUAGGGAAUCUUCCGCAAUGGGCGAAAGCUUGACGGAGCAACGCCGCGUCAGUGAUGAAGGUCUUCUGAUCGUAAAACUCUGUUAUUAGGGAAGAACAAAUGUGUAAGUAACUAUGCACGUCUUGACGGUACCUAAUCAGAAAGCCACGGCUAACUACGUG